This 497-nucleotide ribosomal RNA is filed under the name uncultured bacterium. RNAcentral describes it as "partial 16S ribosomal RNA". It matches the Rfam family "Bacterial small subunit ribosomal RNA", at positions 28 to 507 of the family's 1533-position model. The record is from RNAcentral.
GAUGAACGCUGGCGGCGUGCCUAAUACAUGCAAGUCGAGCGAACAGACGAGGAGCUUGCUCCUCUGACGUUAGCGGCGGACGGGUGAGUAACACGUGUAUAACCUACCUAUAAGACUGGGAUAACUUCGGGAAACCGGAGCUAAUACCGGAUAAUAUAUUGAACCGCAUGGUUCAAUAGUGAAAGACGGUUUUGCUGGCACGUAUAGAUGGAUCCGCGCCGCAUUAGCUAGUUGUUAAGGUAACGGCUUACCAAGGCAACGAUGCGUAGCCGACCUGAGGGGGUGAUAGGCCACCCUGGAACUGAGACACGGUCCAGACUCCUACGGGAGGGCGCAGUCGGCAAUCUUACGCAAUAGGCGAAAGCCUGACGGAGCAACGCCGCGUGAGUGAUGAAGGUCUUCCGAUCGUAAAACUCUGUUACUAGGGAAGAACAAAUGUGUAAGUAACUAUGCCCGUCUUGACGGUACCUAAUCAGAAAGCCCCGGCUAACUACGUG